This 620-nucleotide ribosomal RNA is filed under the name Ciliophora sp. RNAcentral describes it as "SSU rRNA". It matches the Rfam family "Eukaryotic small subunit ribosomal RNA", at positions 341 to 980 of the family's 1831-position model. The record is from RNAcentral. Lineage: Eukaryota; Ciliophora.
CUACCAUGGCUUUCACGGGUAACGGAGGAUUAGGGUUCGAUUCCGGAGAGGGAGCCUGAGAAACGGCUACCACAUCUAAGGAAGGCAGCAGGCGCGUAAAUUACCCAAUUCUGACUCAGAGAGGUAGUGACAAGAAAUAACGGGUCGGGACUUUGUCCCGGGACUGCAAUGAACCGAAUCUACACACCUUAGCCAGCAACAAUUGGAGGGCAAGUCUGGUGCCAGCAGCCGCGGUAAUUCCAGCUCCAAUAGCGUAUAUUAAAGUUGUUGCAGUUAAAAAGCUCGUAGUUGGAUUUCUGGCAGGGUGCCUGCGCCCUAAGCUUAGUGUGCACAGAUGCCUUUCCAUCCUUCUGUUAACCUUGGAGGCUUUUACGGCUUCCCUGGGGCUCAGAUAUUUUACCUUGAGAAAAUUAGAGUGUUUCAGGCAGGCUAGCGCCGGAAUACAUUAGCAUGGAAUAAUAGAAUAGGACAUUUGCCUCUUCUGUUGGUCAUGGGGUUUAUGUAAUGAUUAAUAGGGAUAGUUGGGGGCAUUAGUACUUCACUGUCAGAGGUGAAAUUCUCGGAUUUGUGAAAGACUAACUUAUGCGAAAGCAUUUGCCAAGGAUGUUUUCAUUAAUCAA